Molecule: ribosomal RNA, 497 nt
Filed under: uncultured bacterium
Lineage: Bacteria
Description: partial 16S ribosomal RNA
Rfam family: Bacterial small subunit ribosomal RNA
Source: RNAcentral
GAUGAACGCUGGCGGCGUGCCUAAUACAUGCAAGUCGAGCGAACGGACGAGAAGCUUGCUUCUCUGAUGUUAGCGGCGGACGGGUGAGUAACACGUGGAUAACCUACCUAUAAGACUGGGAUAACUUCGGGAAACCGUAGCUAAUACCGGAUAAUAUUUUGAACCGCAUGGUUCAAAAGUGAAAGACGGUCUUGCUGUCACUUAUAGAUGGAUCCGCGCUGCAUUAGCUAGUUGGUAAGGUAACGGCUUACCAAGGCAACGAUGCAUAGCCGACCUGAGAGGGUGAUCGGCCACACGGGAACUGGGACACGGUCCAGACUCCUACGGGAGGCAGCAGUAGGGAAUCUUCCGCAAUGGGCGAAAGCCUGACGGAGCAACGCCGCGUGAGUGAUGAAGGUCUUCGGAUCGUAAAACUCUGUUAUUAGGGAAGAACAGAUGUGUAAGUAACUGUGCACAUCUUGACGGUACCUAAUCAGAAAGCCACGGCUAACUACGUG